This 407-nucleotide ribosomal RNA is filed under the name uncultured bacterium. Its description in RNAcentral is "partial 16S ribosomal RNA". It matches the Rfam family "Bacterial small subunit ribosomal RNA", at positions 30 to 526 of the family's 1533-position model. The record is from RNAcentral.
AUUGAACGCUGGCGGCAGGCCUAACACAUGCAAGUCGAGCGGAGCGGCGGACGGGUGAGUAAUGCCUAGGAAUCUGCCUGGUAGUGGGGGAUAACGUCGGGAAACGGUCGAUAAUACCGCAUACUAUCAAAUGAACCUAGGUCGGAUGAGCUAGUUGGUGGGGUAAAGGCCUACCAAGGCGACUAUCCGUAACGGGUCUGAGAGGAUGAUCAGUCAAAUUGGAAUUGAUACACGUUCCAUCCUCCUAGGGUAAGCAGCAGUGGGUAAUAGUGGACAAUGGGUGAAAGCCUGAUCCAGCCAUGCUGCGCGUGUGAAAAAGCGUUUCGCAUUGUAAAGCACUUGAAGUUAGGAGGAGUUCCCAACAGAAUAAGCCAGGGCUAAAUUCGUGCCAGCAGCCGCGGUAAUUC